Hyla sarda is the source of this 365-nucleotide long non-coding RNA. RefSeq lists it as uncharacterized. Lineage: Eukaryota; Metazoa; Chordata; Amphibia; Anura; Hylidae. The record is from RefSeq and is a predicted model, not a curated record. The transcript has 3 exons.
CAGCAUCAAAUCUGCAGCAUAAAAUUUCAAACUUCAAAUCUGCAGCGAAUAAGUGGGUUCCACAAUUACUGUGAUAUAAAAGCCCUGUUCACCAGUCAAGUAGAACCAGGAGGUGAGGGCAAGUGAGAAGACGUGCCAGACUAUGGCCUUUUAGCAGCUAAACUCCACCUCCUUGACACUCUGCCCCUUUGGCAACCACCAUCAGCUCCAGUAGAGAAAAGAAACUACACAUCCAACAGCAUGCAGCUGGAUCAACAAGAUACUAUUAAUGAAGCAGAGACAUCAAGCUAAGUUUACCUUUACAGUUGACAAAAUACUGUGUAAAACUACUGUCCUAAAUUUUGACAUAUGUCAGGAGAUCUGAA